Molecule: small RNA, 25 nt
Filed under: Bombyx mori (domestic silkworm)
Lineage: Eukaryota; Metazoa; Arthropoda; Insecta; Lepidoptera; Bombycidae
Description: ovarian small RNA-14449
Source: RNAcentral
CGGACGUUCAUAUUGUGACAUCUAA